AAUUCCUUGUCGGGUAAGUUCCGACCUGCACGAAUGGCGUAACGACUUCCCCGCUGUCUCCAACAUCGACUCAGCGAAAUUGAAUUGCCUGUCAAGAUGCAGGCUUCCCGCGGUUAGACGGAAAGACCCCGUGCACCUUUACUACAGCUUCACACUGGCAUCAGGCACAACAUGUGCAGGAUAGGUGGUAGACUUCGAAGCAGGGACGCCAGUUCCUGUGGAGUCAUCCUUGAGAUACCACCCUUGUUCUGCUUGAUGUCUAACCGCGAUCCCUUAUCGGGUUCCGGGACCCUGUGUGGCGGGUAGUUUGACUGGGGCGGUCGCCUCCUAAAGAGUAACGGAGGCGCGCGAUGGUAGGCUCAGGCUGGUCGGACAUCAGCUUAAGAGUGCAAUGGCAAAAGCCUGCCUGACUGCGAGACUGACAAGUCGAGCAGAGACGAAAGUCGGUCAUAGUGAUCCGGUGGUCCCGCGUGGAAGGGCCAUCGCUCAACGGAUAAAAGGUACGCCGGGGA
This 512-nucleotide ribosomal RNA is filed under the name uncultured Vexilliferidae. RNAcentral describes it as "partial Bacterial large subunit ribosomal RNA". It matches the Rfam family "Bacterial large subunit ribosomal RNA", at positions 1963 to 2474 of the family's 2925-position model. The record is from RNAcentral. Lineage: Eukaryota; Discosea; Flabellinia; Dactylopodida; Vexilliferidae.